Molecule: ribosomal RNA, 448 nt
Filed under: uncultured bacterium
Lineage: Bacteria
Description: partial 16S ribosomal RNA
Rfam family: Bacterial small subunit ribosomal RNA
Source: RNAcentral
AACGAACGCUGGCGGCAUGCCUAACACAUGCAAGUCGAACGAAGCCUUCGGGCUUAGUGGCGUACGGGUGCGUAACACGUGGGAAUCUGCCCUUAGGUACGGAAUAACUCAGGAAACUUGAGCUAAUACCGUAUGAUGUCUUCGGACCAAAGAUUUAUCGCCUAAGGAUGAGCCCGCGUCGGAUUAGCUAGUUGGUGGGGUAAAGGCCUACCAAGGCGACGAUCCGUAGCUGGUCUGAGAGGAUGAUCAGCCACACUGGGACUGAGACACGGCCCAGACUCCUACGGGAGGCAGCAGUGGGGAAUGUUGGACAAUGGGCGAAAGCCUGAUCCAGCAAUGCCGCGUGAGUGAAGAAGGCCUUCGGGUUGUAAAGCUCUUUUACCCGGGAAGAUAAUGACUGUACCGGGAGAAUAAGCCCCGGCUAACUCCGUGCCAGCAGCCGCAGUAA